AUCCCCCCUAGUCAACCCACACAUCCAACGCAACAUCCGCAUUUCCGCCACCUUCAUUUUUCGAAUGUGGGAGUUCUUAACUGACCAACACUCCACUCCAUACAACAUGGCCGGAUGGACUGCCACCCUGUAGAAUUUGCCUUUAAGCUUGGGCGACACCUUCUUAUCACACAACACCCCCGAAGAGAGCUUCCACUUCAUCCAUCCCGCCCCAAUACGGUGCGAGACAUCCUCGUCAAUCUCACCGUUACCCUGAAUCAUGGACCCGAGAUAUUUGAAACUAUCCCUCUUACAUACCACUUGUGACUCCAACUUCACUACCACCUCAUUUUCCAGCCUCACGUCAUUAAACUUGCAUUCCAAAUACUCUGUCUUGCUCCUACUCAACCUGAACCCUUUAGACUCAAGAGUUUGUCUCCACACCUCUAAUUUAUCAUUCACAC
Molecule: long non-coding RNA, 443 nt
Filed under: Capsicum annuum
Lineage: Eukaryota; Viridiplantae; Streptophyta; Magnoliopsida; Solanales; Solanaceae
Description: long non-coding RNA (CANN_LNC005848)
Source: RNAcentral